CUAGGAGGUCGCCCAAUCCUGUGAGUUAAAGUCAUUUAAUCAUUGCACUAUUGCUAAGUCUGAUUUAAUAUGCUAUUUUGAAAGUUCAUGCAUAAUAUGAUUAUUAGUAUCGCAAAAUGAAUGAUUUCACUUGAUUAUUAAUAUUUGAAAUAAUAUAAAUAUUAUUAUUAGUAUGUUAUAAUAAGAUAAACGUUAUUAUUUUUCCCUCACAAAUUUCACGUUGUUUUACCUUAAAUCUUUAAUCUUUAUUUCGAUAUGUGUUGGUUGAGUUCAUCAGAUAAUAAUAUUUAUUAUAUGUGAUGAUUGCGAAUUGGGAAAUGUGGCUUGUAGAACAUGCCGCCUGAUGGGUUACAUCAGGACCGCGUGCGCACCAGUAAUGAUCAUGGAUAUAAGAUUAUUAUGGAUUUGUCUGCCCUGAUCGAGCAUUGCUCUCUGGGCUGAGUUCAGUUGAUUGCCGGAGUUAAGGUCCCUGAUCGAGCAAUGCUCUCUGGGCGCCGGCUUAUUUGGAAUUCAAGUGUUCAGGCUGGAGGUAAGGACCCUGAUCGAGCUUGCUCUCUGGGCGCCAGACCUGUUGGAUUAAGAGAGCCGAAAGGCUACUAGAAAUUUGGGGUUUAGGGUUCUACAGAGCCACUCGUCCCGUAAAAGUAAAAAAUAUAUUUUUAUUUAUUCAUUUAUUUAUUUAUUAUGGUAUGAUUAUAAUAUGGAUUGUAUUUACGUGCAUGGUUGAUAUUUUGAUUCGAAUGAUUAAUAUUUUCUGUGAAGAAAGUAAUAGGGUAUGAUUAUAGUAUGAUUUGUAUUUACGAGCAUGAUUUGAUAUACUAAUUUGAAUAAUCUAUGUUUUCUGAGAAGAAUGCAAUAGUCCCCAGAUUAUUUGAUUUUAACUCACUCUCGAGACUGACAGUCUCAUUUUUACUGUUUUUUCAGAUUUGUGACUGUUAGUUCUCCCACGACUCUUAUUCAGUAACCCGACUCCUUCAUCAUCGGGUGAUGUAUUUGAUUUGGUAUGUAAAUUGGUAAAUCUUAGAUUCUCCGCAGUAGUAAUAGUAGAUGUAUCAGUUGUAAAUUUUUUGAGUUUCAGGUCUCGCCUAGUUCUUCUGGCAGACCGAUUAAAUUAUGUAAAAUGUAGCAUUUAAGAUAAUUUGUGGCUUUAAUAAUAUUAAUUUGAG
This 1166-nucleotide long non-coding RNA is filed under the name Ricinus communis (castor bean). RNAcentral's name for it is "long non-coding RNA (RCOM_LNC002535)". Lineage: Eukaryota; Viridiplantae; Streptophyta; Magnoliopsida; Malpighiales; Euphorbiaceae. The record is from RNAcentral.